This 487-nucleotide ribosomal RNA is filed under the name uncultured bacterium. RNAcentral describes it as "bacterial SSU rRNA". It matches the Rfam family "Bacterial small subunit ribosomal RNA", at positions 501 to 987 of the family's 1533-position model. The record is from RNAcentral.
CUACGUGCCAGCAGCCGCGGUAAUACGUAGGUCCCAAGCGUUGUCCGGAUUUAUUGGGCGUAAAGCGAGCGCAGGCGGUUAGAUAAGUCUGAAGUUAAAGGCUGUGGCUUAACCAUAGUACGCUUUGGAAACUGUUUAACUUGAGUGCAAGAGGGGAGAGUGGAAUUCCAUGUGUAGCGGUGAAAUGCGUAGAUAUAUGGAGGAACACCGGUGGCGAAAGCGGCUCUCUGGCUUGUAACUGACGCUGAGGCUCGAAAGCGUGGGGAGCGAACGGGAUUAGAUACCCCGGUAGUCCUGGCCGUAAACGAUGGGUACUAGGUGUAGGAGGUAUCGACCCCUUCUGUGCCGGAGUUAACGCAAUAAGUACCCCGCCUGGGGAGUACGACCGCAAGGUUGAAACUCAAAGGAAUUGACGGGGGCCCGCACAAGCGGUGGAGUAUGUGGUUUAAUUCGACGCAACGCGAAGAACCUUACCAGGUCUUGACAU